RNAcentral lists this ribosomal RNA (253 nucleotides) under uncultured bacterium. RNAcentral describes it as "partial 16S ribosomal RNA". It matches the Rfam family "Bacterial small subunit ribosomal RNA", at positions 524 to 776 of the family's 1533-position model. The record is from RNAcentral.
UACAGAGGUCCCAAGCGUUGUUCGGAUUCACUGGGCGUAAAGGGUGCGUAGGUGGCGGGGUAAGUUUGAUGUGAAAUCUCCGGGCUUAACCCGGAAACUGCAUUGAAUACUAUUCUGCUCGAGGUUUGGAGGGGGGACUGGAAUUCUCGGUGUAGCAGUGAAAUGCGUAGAUAUCGAGAGGAACACCAGUGGCGAAGGCGAGUCCCUGGACAACACCUGACACUGAGGCACGAAAGCUAGUGGAGCAAACAGG